CCUACGGGAGGCAGCAGUGAGGAAUAUUGGACAAUGGGUGAGAGCCUGAUCCAGCCAUCCCGCGUGAAGGAUGACGGCCCUAUGGGUUGUAAACUUCUUUUGUACAGGGAUAAACCUGCCCUCGUGAGGGUAGCUGAAGGUACUGUACGAAUAAGCACCGGCUAACUCCGUGCCAGCAGCCGCGGUAAUACGGAGGGUGCAAGCGUUAUCCGGAUUUAUUGGGUUUAAAGGGUCCGUAGGCGGAUCUGUAAGUCAGUGGUGAAAUCUCACAGCUUAACUGUGAAACUGCCAUUGAUACUGCAGGUCUUGAGUAAAUUUGAAGUGGCUGGAAUAAGUAGUGUAGCGGUGAAAUGCAUAGAUAUUACUUAGAACACCAAUUGCGAAGGCAGGUCACUAAGAUUAACUGACGCUGAGGACGA
RNAcentral lists this ribosomal RNA (419 nucleotides) under uncultured Flavobacteriaceae bacterium. Its description in RNAcentral is "bacterial SSU rRNA". It matches the Rfam family "Bacterial small subunit ribosomal RNA", at positions 338 to 756 of the family's 1533-position model. The record is from RNAcentral. Lineage: Bacteria; Pseudomonadati; Bacteroidota; Flavobacteriia; Flavobacteriales; Flavobacteriaceae.